Molecule: long non-coding RNA, 1960 nt
Organism: Acinonyx jubatus (cheetah)
Lineage: Eukaryota; Metazoa; Chordata; Mammalia; Carnivora; Felidae
Exons: 4
Source: RefSeq, a predicted model, not a curated record
GGUGAGGGGAGGGAGGGCAGCUUGCCUGACAGAGGAGCACGAACUCCGUUUCCGGGGCAACGUUGACACCGCUAGGCAAGCACUUUGCAAGCAUUUCGGGAGGAUCUAAUUACAAACCAACAAAUGAUACCAUACGUCUGUUUUUAGGGAGGUCCCUGGACAGUCUUUUAAACUCCGUCUAAUUGCUCAUUUUCUUUAAAGGCAAUGUGACAUAGUGAUCGUCGAAGUCUAGUUUGAAUCCUACAACGGCCACUUGAGCUGGAGCCUCGUCCGAGUAAGCGCCCUUACCUGAACAUACAGGUUGCAGGCGUGUCCACGGGGCACUGUGAGGGUUAAUACACUCAAGCGAUAAUGCACUCACUCCCUAGCCUACAGGGAGCUCUAACACAUCGGUACAUUCCCUUCAGAAAUGUUUUCCUAUUCCAAACCCGCCUCCCUAUUUUAGGGCCUUUCAAAGUUAGGAAUGCCUCUUUUCUGUGGACCAGACUGCACUUUGUUUUGUUUAUGUUAACCGUUUUUAUUCCAUACAAUCAUUCUCUACAUGCAUUUUAUAGCUUUCCUUUUUAUGACGGAUGAGCCAAUAUUGAAACUUGGCUACUAAGGCCCCUGGUUUACGGCCGGUUCACUGCUGAGUCGUGCAUUCUGUGGGUUUUGACAAAUGUAUGACAUUUUGGCCCCAUUGUAUCUUACAGAGUAGUUUCCCUGCCCCCUCCCCCAUGCUCUGCCUAUUCAUCCUUCCCUCCCAUCCCCAGCAACCAGUGAUCAUUCUCUUGUCUCCAUGGUUUUGCCUUUUCCAGAAUGCCAUCUAGUUGGAUUCAUACAGCACGUAGCCUUUUCAGAUCGCCUUGCGAAGUAAUUCACAUUUAAGGUCCCUCCGUGUCUGUUCGUGAAAUGAUAGUUCAUUUCCUUUUUUGCUGAAGAAUCCAUUGCCUGGAUGGACCACAGUUUAUUUAUCCAUCCACCUACUGAAGGAUAUCUUGGUUGCUCCCAGGAGUUGGCGAUUAUGAGUGAAACUGCUCUAAACAUCCGUGUGCAGGGUGUAUAUGGACGUACAUUUUCAACUUAUGAGUAGAUACCAAAGAGUGCAGUCGCUAAGCCGCAUGGUAGGAUAUGUCUAGUUUUCUAAGAAACUGUCGAACUGUCUUCCGUUUUGUAUGACUUCCAUUUUGCUUCCCCGCCAGCAGUGAAUGGGAGUUCCCGCUGUCCUCACCAGCAGUUGUCAGUGCUUUGGAUUUUAGCCAUUCUAGAUGGAAAAUCAGUGCGUGGGCAGUGAAAGGGAAGUCCAGCCUCACGGAGGGGCUUUUCCUGUGGGUCUCCAGAACAUUCCUCCCACCCCACCCACCUCAUGACAAACUGAGGCAAUGUCCUAAUGCUUCCGGAUAACAAAGCAUCUGAGGCUCUGAAGUUCAGUGUGAAAAUACGCACAUGUUCGGCUAUAUUGGAAAGCACGGCAAAGAGAAAGUGAGAUUCUCCGCAAGACACGUGGAGUAAGGAUAAGUGAGCCAGUUUUUAAGCUGAGGCUUCCCUGUAGGAGUUGCAGCAGCCGUGUGACUUUGGACAAAUAUCACCGAGAGAGAGGCGCCCAGAGGACCUCCCUGCUCCAGAGGAGGCUGCCCCGAGGGCUGCUGUAAUGCCAGGACGGAGGAUGCUGACUGUCCAGAAAGAUGCUGGCGACAGCCCGGUCCCACCUGCGGUGGCCCCUGCUGAAGGCCGACGGGGCCCCAGGAGGACGAGCCAGCCCGGCCGCCUGCACGCUCGGAGCCGACGGGGGCCUGGAGGCCGGGCGGGGAGGUGGGCGCCGGCCAGUGCUCGUCUGCAAGGAGGCGAGAGAGGACACUUUCCAAGAGGCGAGAGACACAGCUUUCCCCAGGGCUGGUGGUCUUGAAAACGCUCCCCUGCUCCCAUCAGCCCAUCCCCAGGGCCUCAGCCGGAUUGCGCCCUGGAGCCCAGACUGGCAGGC